This 1391-nucleotide ribosomal RNA is filed under the name activated sludge metagenome. RNAcentral describes it as "bacterial LSU rRNA". It matches the Rfam family "Bacterial large subunit ribosomal RNA", at positions 1553 to 2925 of the family's 2925-position model. The record is from RNAcentral.
UGUCUGAGAGGUGAUGCAUAGCCGAGUGAGGCGAAUUCGGUGAUCCUAUGCUGCCAAGAAAAGCCUCUAGCGAGUGCGCACACGGCCCGUACCCCAAACCAACACAGGUGGUCAGGUAGAGAAUACCAAGGCGUACGAGUGAACUAUGGUUAAGGAACUCGGCAAAAUACCCCCGUAACUUCGGGAGAAGGGGGACCCCCUGCGGUCAAGGCCCACGCGGCCGGCAGCGGCGGGGGGUGGCACAAACCAGUGAGAAGCGACUGUUUACUAAAAACACAGGUCCGUGCGAAGUCGCAAGACGAUGUAUACGGACUGACGCCUGCCCGGUGCUGGAAGGUUAAGAGGACCCGUUAACCCCUCGGGGUGAAGCGGAGAAUUUAAGCCCCAGUAAACGGCGGUGGUAACUAUAACCAUCCUAAGGUAGCGAAAUUCCUUGUCGGGUAAGUUCCGACCUGCACGAAUGGCGUAACGACUUCUCAACUGUCUCAACCAUAGACUCGGCGAAAUUGCACUACGAGUAAAGAUGCUCGUUACGCGCGGCAGGACGAAAAGACCCCGGGACCUUCACUAUAGCUUGGUAUUGGCGUUCGAUACGGUUUGUGUAGGAUAGGUGGGAGACUAUGAAACUCACACGCCAGUGUGGGUGGAGUCGUUGUUGAAAUACCACUCUGAUCGUAUUGGACUUCUAACCUCGAACCGUCUAUCCGGUUCAGGGACAGUGCCUGGUGGGUAGUUUAACUGGGGCGGUUGCCUCCUAAAAUGUAACGGAGGCGCCCAAAGGUUCCCUCAACCUGGACGGCAAUCAGGUGUUGAGUGCAAGUGCACAAGGGAGCUUGACUGCAAGACGGACAUGUCAAGCAGGGACGAAAGUCGGGACUAGUGAUCCGGCACCCCCGAGUGGAAGGGGUGUCGCUCAACGGAUAAAAGGUACCCCGGGGAUAACAGGCUGAUCUUCCCCAAGAGUCCAUAUCGACGGGAUGGUUUGGCACCUCGAUGUCGGCUCGUCGCAUCCUGGGGCUGGAGCAGGUCCCAAGGGUUGGGCUGUUCGCCCAUUAAAGCGGCACGCGAGCUGGGUUUAGAACGUCGUGAGACAGUUCGGUCUCUAUCCGCCGCGCGCGUCAGAAGCUUGAGGAAACCUGUCCCUAGUACGAGAGGACCGGGACGGACGAACCUCUGGUCCACCAGUUGUCCCACCAGGGGCACCGCUGGAUAGCCACGUUCGGACAGGAUAACCGCUGAAAGCAUCUAAGCGGGAAACCUUCUCCAAGACCAGGCUUCUCACCCAUCAAGUGGGAUAAGGCCCCCCGCAGACCACGGGAUCGAUAGACCAGACCUACACACCCCGCAAGGGGCGCAGGGAACUGGCACUAACCGGCCGAAAACUUACAACA